This is a regulatory RNA element of Orchesella cincta, 47 nucleotides long. It matches the Rfam family "Histone 3' UTR stem-loop". Rfam says of the family: The mRNAs of metazoan histone genes lack a poly-A tail. 3' end processing occurs at a site between a highly conserved stem-loop (modelled by this family) and a purine rich region around 20 nts downstream (the histone downstream element, or HDE). Lineage: Eukaryota; Metazoa; Arthropoda; Collembola; Entomobryomorpha; Orchesellidae. The record is from Rfam.
CCAACGGCCUUUUUAAAGGCCACCAAAUAUUUCGAAUAAUGAUGAUU